This 464-nucleotide ribosomal RNA is filed under the name uncultured bacterium. RNAcentral's name for it is "bacterial SSU rRNA". It matches the Rfam family "Bacterial small subunit ribosomal RNA", at positions 199 to 644 of the family's 1533-position model. The record is from RNAcentral.
GGAGAAAGCAGGGGAUCGCAAGACCUUGCGCUUUUGGAGCGGCCGAUGCCUGAUUAGCUUGUUGGUAAGGUAAAAGCUUACCAAGACUUCGAUCAGUAGCUGGUCUGAGAGGACGGCCAGCCACACUGGGACUGAGACACGGCCCAGACUCCUACGGGAGGCAGCAGUGGGGAAUUUUGGACAAUGGGGGCAACCCUGAUCCAGCCAUGCCGCGUGAGUGAAGAAGGCCUUCGGGUUGUAAAGCUCUUUCAGCCGGAACGAAACGGUUACGGUUAAUACCCGUGACUAAUGACGGUACCGGAAGAAGAAGCACCGGCUAACUACGUGCCAGCAGCCGCGGUAAUACGUAGGGUGCGAGCGUUAAUCGGAAUUACUGGGCGUAAAGUGUGCGCAGGUGGUUUUGUAAGUCAGAUGUGAAAUCCCCGGGCUCAACCUGGGAACUGCGUUUGAAACUACAAGGCUAG